Molecule: ribosomal RNA, 253 nt
Filed under: uncultured bacterium
Lineage: Bacteria
Description: partial 16S ribosomal RNA
Rfam family: Bacterial small subunit ribosomal RNA
Source: RNAcentral
UACGUAGGCAGCAAGCGUUGUUCGGAAUUACUGGGCGUAAAGAGUGUGUAGGCGGUUCUCUAAGUUCGGUGUGAAAUCUCCCGGCUCAACUGGGAGGGUGCGCCGGAAACUGGAGGGCUUGAGUAUGGGAGAGGAAAGCGGAAUUCCUGGUGUAGCGGUGAAAUGCGUAGAUAUCAGGAGGAACACCUGCGGUGUAGACAGCUUUCUGGACCAUCACUGACGCUGAGACACGAAAGCGUGGGUAGCAAACAGG